RNAcentral lists this small nuclear RNA (104 nucleotides) under Dasypus novemcinctus (nine-banded armadillo). Lineage: Eukaryota; Metazoa; Chordata; Mammalia; Cingulata; Dasypodidae. The record is from RNAcentral.
GUGCUUGCUUAGGUAGCACAUACACUAAAAUUGGGGAAAAUACAGAGAUUAGCAUGGCCCCCUGCAAGAAUGACAUGCAAAUUCGUGGAGCGUUCCAUAUUUUU